This 429-nucleotide ribosomal RNA is filed under the name Bacteroidota bacterium. RNAcentral describes it as "Bacteroidetes bacterium partial 16S ribosomal RNA". It matches the Rfam family "Bacterial small subunit ribosomal RNA", at positions 355 to 776 of the family's 1533-position model. Lineage: Bacteria; Pseudomonadati; Bacteroidota. The record is from RNAcentral.
UAGGGAAUCUUCGGCAAUGGGGGGAACCCUGACCGAGCAACGCCGCGUGAGUGAAGAAGGUUUUCGGAUCGUAAAGCUCUGUUGUUAAGGAAGAACGAGUGGGAGAAUGGAAAGUUCAUGCUGUGACGGUACUUAACCAGAAAGGGACGGCUAACUACGUGCCAGCAGCCGCGGUAAUACGUAGGUCCCGAGCGUUGUCCGGAUUUAUUGGGCGUAAAGCGAGCGCAGGCGGUUAGAAAAGUCUGAAGUGAAAGGCAGUGGCUCAACCAUUGUAGGCUUUGGAAACUGUUUAACUUGAGUGCAGAAGGGGAGAGUGGAAUUCCAUGUGUAGCGGUGAAAUGCGUAGAUAUAUGGAGGAACACCGGUGGCGAAAGCGGCUCUCUGGUCUGUAACUGACGCUGAGGCUCGAAAGCGUGGGGAGCGAACAGG